GCCAGCAUUUAGUUGGGCACUCUAAGGUGACUGCCGGUGACAAACCGGAGGAAGGUGGGGAUGACGUCAAAUCAUCAUGCCCCUUAUGACCUGGGCUACACACGUGCUACAAUGGACAGAACAAAGGGCUGCGAGACCGCAAGGUUUAGCCAAUCCCAUAAAUCUGUUCUCAGUUCGGAUCGCAGUCUGCAACUCGACUGCGUGAAGCUGGAAUCGCUAGUAAUCGCGGAUCAGCAUGCCGCGGUGAAUACGUUCCCGGGCCUUGUACACACCGCCCGUCACACCACGAGAGUUUGUAACACCCGAAGUCGGUGAGGUAACCUUUAUGGAGCCAGCCGCCGAAGGUGGGACAGAUGAUUGGGGUGAAGUCGUAACAAGGUAGCCGUAUCGGAAGGUGCGGCUGGAUCACCUCCUUUCUAAGGA
Molecule: ribosomal RNA, 423 nt
Filed under: Bacillus pumilus
Lineage: Bacteria; Bacillati; Bacillota; Bacilli; Caryophanales; Bacillaceae
Description: bacterial SSU rRNA
Rfam family: Bacterial small subunit ribosomal RNA
Source: RNAcentral